RNAcentral lists this ribosomal RNA (308 nucleotides) under uncultured archaeon. RNAcentral describes it as "bacterial SSU rRNA". It matches the Rfam family "Archaeal small subunit ribosomal RNA", at positions 526 to 834 of the family's 1478-position model. The record is from RNAcentral.
CGGUACUGCAAGUCUUCCGUUAAAUCCACCUGCUCAACGGUUGGGCUGCGGGGGAUACCGCAGAGCUAGGAGGCGGGAGAGGCAAACGGUACUCAGUAGGUAGGGGUAAAAUCCAUUGAUCUACUGAAGACCACCAGUGGCGAAGGCGGUUUGCCAGAACGCGCUCGACGGUGAGGGAUGAAAGCUGGGGGAGCAAACCGGAUUAGAUACCCGGGUAGUCCCAGCUGUAAACGAUGCAGACUCGGUGAUGGGCUGGCCUUGUGCCAACCCAGUGCCGCAGGGAAGCCGUUAAGUCUGCCGCCUGGGGA